This 285-nucleotide ribosomal RNA is filed under the name uncultured soil bacterium. Its description in RNAcentral is "partial 16S ribosomal RNA". It matches the Rfam family "Bacterial small subunit ribosomal RNA", at positions 26 to 311 of the family's 1533-position model. The record is from RNAcentral.
AGAUUGAACGCUGGCGGCAUGCCUUACACAUGCAAGUCGAACGGCAGCACGGGAGCAAUCCUGGUGGCGAGUGGCGAACGGGUGAGUAAUACAUCGGAACGUGCCCAAUCGUGGGGGAUAACGCAGCGAAAGCUGUGCUAAUACCGCAUAAGAUCUACGGAUGAAAGCAGGGAUCGCAAGACCUUGCGACGAAUGGAGCGGCCGACGGCAGAUUAGGUAGUUGGUAGAAGGUAAGGCUCACCAAGCCUUCGAUCUGUAGCUGGUCUGGAGAGGACGACCAGCCAC